Molecule: non-coding RNA, 89 nt
Organism: Wilcoxina mikolae CBS 423.85
Lineage: Eukaryota; Fungi; Ascomycota; Pezizomycetes; Pezizales; Pyronemataceae
Source: the annotation of a GenBank genome assembly
GGCCCUGUGGCCUAAUGGUAAGGCGUUGGUUUUCGGUUUGCCUCUUGUAAAUCCACCAAAGAUUGUGCGUUCGAGUCGCAUCGGGGUCG